AAUACCCUAUUAUUUUAAAAGUAAUUAAUAAAAUCUAAUUAGUAAUAGUUAAGUUCUUGAAAAUUAAAGAAUUUGGCGGUAUUUUAGUCUAUUCAGAGGAAUCUGUCCUAUAAUUGAUAAUCCACGAUUUUUUAUACCUAAUUUAUUAAUUUACAUAUCGCCGUAGUUUGAAUAUUUUUUGAAAAUUAUAAUAUUCAUAAUUUAUUUUGAUGAAAAAAUUCAGGUCAAGGUGUAGUUUAUGGUUAGGGAGAGAUGGAUUACAAUAAAAGUAUUUAUUAUGGAUUAAUUAAUUAAAUUUUUUUAUGAAGGUGGAUUUGAAAGUAAUUUUAUUUA
Molecule: ribosomal RNA, 333 nt
Filed under: Laparocerus aethiops aethiops
Lineage: Eukaryota; Metazoa; Arthropoda; Insecta; Coleoptera; Curculionidae
Description: partial 12S ribosomal RNA
Source: RNAcentral